RNAcentral lists this ribosomal RNA (393 nucleotides) under bacterium enrichment culture clone ALO1_GLFRUDD03F9R2A. RNAcentral describes it as "bacterial SSU rRNA". It matches the Rfam family "Bacterial small subunit ribosomal RNA", at positions 9 to 404 of the family's 1533-position model. The record is from RNAcentral.
GAGUUUGAUCGUGGCUCAGAUUGAACGCUGGCGGCAUGCCUUACACAUGCAAGUCGAACGGCAGCACGGGAGCUUGCUCCUGGUGGCGAGUGGCGAACGGGUGAGUAAUGCAUCGGAACGUAUCCUGGAGUGGGGGAUAACGUAGCGAAAGUUACGCUAAUACCGCAUAUUCUGUGAGCAGGAAAGCGGGGGACCUUCGGGCCUCGCGCUCUUGGAGCGGCCGAUGUCGGAUUAGCUAGUUGGUGAGGUAAAGGCUCACCAAGGCGACGAUCCGUAGCAGGUCUGAGAGGAUGAUCUGCCACACUGGAACUGAGACACGGUCCAGACUCCUACGGGAGGCAGCAGUGGGAAUUUGGACAAUGGGGGCAACCCUGAUCCAGCCAUGCCGCGUGA